Molecule: long non-coding RNA, 1261 nt
Organism: Solanum pennellii
Lineage: Eukaryota; Viridiplantae; Streptophyta; Magnoliopsida; Solanales; Solanaceae
Exons: 2
Source: RefSeq, a predicted model, not a curated record
CAAACCCUUCUCUUCCUUAGCAGAGAGUCCAGAACAACCUGCUGUUCCAAGACUUUUCCCAAAGUUCCAAACGCGGACAACAACAAGGAAGAACGACACACGUGAGUAGCAAACGCGAAGGUCCCAUUGAUGGUGUUACAUGGGAGGUAUUCACAAAACCAUCCACGCGUGAUCCGCACGUCCCAACGUCUUCUUCCUCUAUCCCAUUCUGCUUUGGACAGUACUUUCGGCUGCAGCUUUUGUGCGUUUCCAGCUACUUGCUUCGUCCCCCUUAGCGCGAGAUCAUGCCACAUCGAUACCACGCACGGGAGAUCAAUCUUAAUCGUCCAUUCCGCUUUCCCUUUUCAGAAUAGAGUUAGAAUUUCAGAAAAAGGUUGUUUAUCCAAUUUAGUGAAAGUUUUUUUUUUUGAGAAUUUGAAUUGGAAGAGAUUCCCUCUCUCAUCAAUUAAUGAUCCGUUUCCCCCAAUUCAAACCCUAAAUUCCUCUCUAUAUAAACUCUUUAUCAUCAUUUUGGAGAGGGGGGGGGGGGGCAGUUGAGAUACGAAAAAAUAAAAGGGAAAAAAUUUUCUUUAAAAGCAUCAGAAAUAUUGAUAAUUUUUUUCAGAAAUAGUGAGCUAAAAAGUUGAGUGAAAUACUAAUUGUUAAGAAGAGGAAACCAUUUAAAUCCGAAGUUCUUGGAGAUAUUCCUUUAAUCUCAGUUUGGUUCACUCUAUUUCAUUCAUCCAAGUCUCUUGGUGUCAUUCUUAGGGUGCGGAAGUCGGUACUCUUUCAGGCUCACUAUUGUCCUUGUUCUUCUGCCCCUCUGAAGGUCGAAUACAGCAGAUACUGCUGGAAAUUCAUUUUUGCAGCCCCAAAGGGUCUAAAACGCAGUGAUAUAUCAGCUGUAUACACUGGUAUACAGAUGGAAUAUAGCACAGAUGGGUGCGAAACGUGAAAAUGCAGGUGAAACGUGCAGGGACAUCGAAUUCAAAUAAAAGACAGGCUAGGGAUUCCAAGAAUCGGUAGUAUACGUGAUGUAUACGUCAAAUAUACACUUGGUGUAUAUCAUGGAAAAUGGGGACAAAAAGGGCCUAAAGCUUAAAGAAUUUUGGGCCCAAGUCCAUUUGUGAUAAUUUUAGAAUUAGGACAGGUGGUCCAAAAGCCUAAUUUAAUAGAAUUUGGGUAAUUGACACAAGUUCAAAUACUCCCUCCUUUUCCCUCUUUAUUUAUGUAUUAUUAAAUUAACUAACACUUUGGUUAAAUUCUAUUAAUUUCCUAUGGA